GACGAACGCUGGCGGCGUGCUUAACACAUGCAAGUCGAACGGUGAAAGCGGAGCUUGCUCCGCUGGAUCAGUGGCGAACGGGUGAGUAACACGUGGGCAACCUGCCCCUCGCUUCGGGAUAACUCCGGGAAACCGGGGCUAAUACCGGAUAUGACCUCCUUGGGCAUCCUUGGCGGUGGAAAGUUUUUCGGUGAGGGAUGGGCCCGCGGCCUAUCAGCUUGUUGGUGAGGUAGUGGCUCACCAAGGCGACGACGGGUAGCCGGCCUGAGAGGGCGACCGGCCACACUGGGACUGAGACACGGCCCAGACUCCUACGGGAGGCAGCAGUGGGGAAUAUUGCGCGAUGGGCGAAAGCCUGACGCAGCAACGCCGCGUGCGGGAUGACGGCCUUCGGGUUGUAAACCGCUUUCAGCAGGGAAGAAGCCGCAAGGUGACGGUACCUGCAGAAGACGCACCGGCUAACUACGUGCCAGCAGCCGCGGUAA
RNAcentral lists this ribosomal RNA (485 nucleotides) under uncultured bacterium. RNAcentral describes it as "partial 16S ribosomal RNA". It matches the Rfam family "Bacterial small subunit ribosomal RNA", at positions 28 to 523 of the family's 1533-position model. The record is from RNAcentral.